GUCCUCCGGAUUGGGACCUCAAUCGAGAUCGGAUCCGGCACUGCCACCUUGUUCUGGUUCGACAGAUGGACUGGCGGUAUGCCCCUCGGGGCCCGCUUUCUCGACCUAUUCUCCAUAGCGGUUGCCCCACAGAUCUCGGUCGCGGCAGCCCUUAUUGACUUAGGGAAACUCGCGUUCUAGAGGCCUUUUGGCCCGGCUGAGACCGCCGACUGGCACGAGCUGCUCGACUGCAUUGUCUUGCACGCGCCGGAACUUACGAUCGAAGAUGACAACACCAGUUGGCGGUUAGAGCCUUUUGGACAUUUCUCCACCAAGUCUCUUUACCAGGCCAUCGCCCCCUCGCCUGGCCAUGAGGCGCUCACCUCCAUCUGGGAGAUUCUCCAUGCACUAAAAAUUAGGAUCUUCUUAUGGCAAUGGAUCCGCGGCCGCCUCCCGUCUGGCAUGGAGGUCCUGAAGCGUAAUGGCCCGGGUGAUGGGCGAUGCCCGCUCUGCGGGCCGGAAGAGUAUUCGAAUCAUAUCUUCUUCACCUGCGUGUCCGCGCAGUUCUUAUGGAGUUGUUUCCGCGAGAUAGCAGGUGGAAGCUGGGACCACAACAACUUUCCCGCUCUCUUCGCCGAACUCCAAGCGAUCCCACCCGUAGUGCGCCACAUUAGGUGGCUAGCCAUUUGGGUGCUGGCCUGGACGCUGUGGACUGUUAGGAAUAAACUUGUGAUUCAGCGCAUUCCUCUUCGUCGUGCUACUGACGAUUUGCUCAAAUGGUCUGAUUACUUGCAGCUUUGGCGGCCGCUUAGCCGCCCCAGAAAGAGAGACGCCAUCAUCUCCAUCAUCACCUAG
This 834-nucleotide ribosomal RNA is filed under the name Triticum aestivum (bread wheat). Its description in RNAcentral is "partial small subunit ribosomal RNA". Lineage: Eukaryota; Viridiplantae; Streptophyta; Magnoliopsida; Poales; Poaceae. The record is from RNAcentral.